AGUGAACGCUGGCGGUAGGCCUAACACAUGCUAGUCGAACGGCAGCACAGUAAGAGCUUGCUCUUACGGGUGGCGAGUGGCGGACGGGUGAGGAAUACAUCGGAAUCUACUUUUUCGUGGGGGAUAACGCAGGGAAACUUACGCUAAUACCGCAUACGACCUACGGGUGAAAGCAGGGGAUCUUCGGACCUUGCGCGAUUGAAUGAGCCGAUGUCGGAUUAGCUAGUUGGCGGGGUAAAGGCACACCAAGGCGACGAUCCGUAGCUGGUCUGAGAGGAAGAUCCGCCACACUGGAACUGAGACACGGUCCAGACUCCUACGGGAGGCAGCAGUGGGGAAUAUUGGACAAUGGGCGCAAGCCUGAUCCAGCCAUACCGCGUGGGUGAAGAAGGCCUUCGGGUUGUAAAGCCCUUUUGUUGGGAAAGAAAAGCAGCAGGUUAAUACCCCGCUGUUCUGACGGUACCCAAAGAAUAAGCACCGGCUAACUUCGUG
RNAcentral lists this ribosomal RNA (492 nucleotides) under uncultured bacterium. RNAcentral describes it as "partial 16S ribosomal RNA". It matches the Rfam family "Bacterial small subunit ribosomal RNA", at positions 29 to 507 of the family's 1533-position model. The record is from RNAcentral.